Molecule: long non-coding RNA, 491 nt
Filed under: Mus musculus (house mouse)
Lineage: Eukaryota; Metazoa; Chordata; Mammalia; Rodentia; Muridae
Description: predicted gene 567 (Gm567)
Source: RNAcentral
AGGAAACCUGAGAACAGGAACAGAGAGAAGCCCAUGCUUUUGCCUCUAAUUGGGAGAGAGUGUCACCGUUUGCAAGCCUCCAUCUUUGAGCAAGGCACCAAACCAUGGUUAUGACUGUGGCUGGGGAAACCUGUUUAAAUGCGGAGUGAGGGCUUCAGAGCAUCUGAGAUGAAGGAUUGUUUUAUUUACGUUUUCCAUCUUAACUCUAUGACUAUUGCCUCACAUUCGAAGACCUGGUAUUUCCUAAGAGGUGAGGAUAUCUGGAGAAAAUGGAUCCCUCAAGGCCAGCUCAGGUAUAUAUUACACGGAGCCAACUCCUGUGCUGGAAUGUUCCCUUCAGACCUGAAAGCCACACCAGGAAGGAAAUCAGUGUCAGAGCUGAAGAUGUGGCCUCCCAGCUUCCUGCUAUUCUCAGCCUCUGCAAUUCCUCUCCUGCUCUUGUGAACUCUCUCCCUGGAACUAUAAACCAAAAUAAACUCACUGCCCCAUAA